GCUUAACACAUGCAAGUCGAGGGGUAACAUUGUGCUUGCACAGAUGACGACCGGCGCACGGGUGCGUAACGCGUAUAGAACCUACCUUUUACAGAGGAAUAGCCUUUAGAAAUGAAGAUUAAUGCCUCAUAGUAUUGUAGACUGGCAUCAGUUUAUAAUUAAAGAUUUAUCGGUAAAAGAUGGCUAUGCGUCCUAUUAGUUAGUUGGUAAGGUAACGGCUUACCAAGACAGCGAUAGGUAGGGGUCCUGAGAGGGAGAUCCCCCACACUGGUACUGAGACACGGACCAGACUCCUACGGGAGGCAGCAGUGAGGAAUAUUGGACAAUGGAGGAGACUCUGAUCCAGCCAUGCCGCGUGUAGGAAGAAUGCCCUAUGGGUUGUAAACUACUUUUAUACAGGAAGAAACACUGGUAUGUAUACCAGCUUGACGGUACUGUAAGAAUAAGGACCGG
Molecule: ribosomal RNA, 453 nt
Filed under: uncultured Polaribacter sp.
Lineage: Bacteria; Pseudomonadati; Bacteroidota; Flavobacteriia; Flavobacteriales; Flavobacteriaceae
Description: bacterial SSU rRNA
Rfam family: Bacterial small subunit ribosomal RNA
Source: RNAcentral